Molecule: long non-coding RNA, 323 nt
Filed under: Gossypium barbadense (sea-island cotton)
Lineage: Eukaryota; Viridiplantae; Streptophyta; Magnoliopsida; Malvales; Malvaceae
Description: long non-coding RNA (GBAR_LNC013383)
Source: RNAcentral
UUAAAAAGAAUUUCUUUUCGAUUUCUUUGCCUUUUUCUCUGUUAAUACCCCCGUCCCUUUUAUAGAUUUCAAAGGGCCUUUUAUAGGCCAAAAAUAAAAUAAAUCGAGGGGAAAAACAAAAAAACAAUCUUGCUUGCUGUUUUUUUCUCUUUGGACUCCUUGAGUCCGUUUUUCAGGUGUUCGUGGAGAGUUUGGCGCGCGUGGAGGUGGUCGACUCCGAGUCCUACGGCGCCUGGAGAGUAUGCUGGAAACGGGGCUUGCUGCGGCGCUGCUUACUACUCUAGGGUUUUUUGGUUUAACUUUGCUUUGGGCCAGGGUUAUUU